UGUCAGGGAAAACCUCUGUCAAGUUGGC
This 28-nucleotide non-coding RNA is filed under the name Homo sapiens (human). The record is from RNAcentral. Lineage: Eukaryota; Metazoa; Chordata; Mammalia; Primates; Hominidae.